This 63-nucleotide transfer RNA is filed under the name Bottapotamon lingchuanense. Its description in RNAcentral is "tRNA-His". Lineage: Eukaryota; Metazoa; Arthropoda; Malacostraca; Decapoda; Potamidae. The record is from RNAcentral.
AUUCAGAUAGUUUAAAUAAAAUAUUGAUUUGUGGUGUCAAAGAAAUAAUUGCUAUUCUGGGUU